GCGGCGCUCGCGAAACCCGAAGACUUGCAGGGUAAGAACUGAAGCCACCAAAAGGCUUACUAUACCACACAACACCCAAGCCUUCCUUUGGGGCAUGGGGACAGUGGAUCUAUGGCUCCUCAGGGUGCCAACCAAUUGAAGAAGGAAGCCAGCUCCACUCAACAGCUUCUACAAAGGAAGGGCCACAGGAGAGGGGCUUCAGUGGUUCCAGGCAGCUGCUUCAUUCACAACAGAAUGGCCAUUUUCUCCAGCAUGGCCAACUAUCCCUAGUCUUUUUGUCAUGACAGCCUAGAAGGCAGAAGCUAGGGCCAAGGCGGCUGCUAAGGAAUUCCUACUCCUACUGGGGCCUAAUGUCAGGCUUUCCUUAUAUUGUGGAGUGGGCCCUGGAAGAUAGUUAGAGACCCUUCCUGCUGGGCACCCUGAAGAGGAGCAAGAGGAUCUGGUGAGCAAAAUGAAGCAAAAGUGCAGUGCUGGAGCUGACAGCCCUGUUCCCUACUGCACGCAGUUGGCUCAGGGCUGUCCCCCACUUUGGAGCUUCUUGCCACUCACGGGCUACCCUGCACACACUACUUACUGCCCAGGCCUGUCUGCCACCACAGUACCCUGUGCCUGAGACCUUUCCUGGCCUCUGCUGGAUCCCAGGCCUAGUAUCAUUCCUAGGGACUCCAGAGGCAAGUCCAGGCUAAUAUGCUCUGGGAAAACAAUGUACAAUGUACAUGUUUGCCUUUUGACGUAGAUAAAUGAUACCUGGAUCCCAGGUCUGGCUCUGGGGCAGGGGAGCUUCAGGCCUGGCUAUGGCAGAACACUGAAGGAGGUACUUUGGGUUUUCACAACCUCUUAAAUCAUCUCAGAGAGAGAGUGAACAACUUACUUUCACAUGCACAAGCUGCCGCUGGCUCUGUCACAAGAAGAUGGACUACAAGUAAUAAAAUCAAGAUGAAGUUCUGUGUACAUCUUUCCAGCUUACAAGAAUUGUAGAAAGUUGAAGAUGAAAGGGAUAUUAAAGAGCAUCUCAUUCUACCUCCUCAUUUUGCAGCUGUAAGAACCGAGGCCCAGGGAGGGGGACUGGGGAAGCCACCAUCACACAGCUGCUCCGUGGCAGGAGUUGUGCUAACUUUCUGUGGCUGUUGCCAUUACACCCAGCAUCUUUUGACUUUUGAAAACAGCGAAGGAGAAAUCAGUCCUCCCAGCAUCUUCACCUCCCACGACGUUUAUUGUUUCCAGCUGUUAAAAAUUGGCCCUUUAAAAAUGGGUCGUCUUGCCAGUCAUUGAGGGUCACCGCGGUGGGGAGUGCUGAUUUAGAGGGCGGCAGAACAGGGAGGUGAUUGGAGGCAUAAUUGCCAGUCUCCUCCUUGGCACCUGGGGAUUUCUGUCAUUCAAGUCUCAGGGUGUGUGCCCUCAGCAAAUACUAACCCACAGAGUCAAUUGCUAACUGCAGUCAUCUGUGCAUUUGCCCUCUGGGGAUGGAAAGCCAUAAGAAAUGCCAUUUCCUAAUCUAGUUGGCCUUGGAUGAGAAGAUGUUUUUGCCUAAUGGAAGCCUUUGGAGAGUGAAUAAUGUGAAUAAUGUGUAUUUAGGACCUACAGUGCUCCCCAGGAUGCUGUAAGGGACCUGGUUAUAAAGAAAAAAACCUCACUGAUGGUCUUGGCUUUGUCCUUGUCUGAGUUAAGUCCUUUUGGUUGGAAGUAAUCAACUUGAGCUGACGUAAGCAUUAAGGGACAUAGAAGAGUAUAGCAGUAUCUCAUGAAGUCCAAGGGCAGAUGGCCUCAAGGUAGCCCGAGAAGCUGCUAGGAACCUAGACAGUCCACCUUCUCCAGCUUUCUUCUCUGCUUCGUGUCUCCCUCUGCAAUCCACUUUCUUCUCUGUGAGUAGCUGGGCAGAGGAUAAUCCCUCAACAACUAUCACAUCUACAUCUUCUCUCCUAAAGAGAUUAGCCAAAGGUGAGUGGCUGUCCUCAGUCCAAUACCAGAUUCCUGGGAGAGGGAAUUUGGUUGUCCCAGCCUGGGUCAGGUGCACAGCUUGAUCCAAUCAGGUGUGCCCAGGAGAGGGUGCCCUGAGACAGGCACAUCUGGGGACACUCAUCCUCAUGAAUGACCGGACAGUUCUCCAGGAAAGAAGAGAGAAGAGUGGAGGUCAGACAUUUCAAAUGUAUAUUAUAGGCAUCAAAUUAGUUACUGAUACAGAAAAAUGGCAAUGUCUAAGUAGGGGGCUUGAGAAACAGUUCAAACACUGUAUAGAUUUUGAUUAUUUGCUUAACUUCCAGGAUGAUAAAUUGUCUAUUAUGGAGCUGUAUUUUUUUUUUGGAGACAGAGUCUUGCUGUUUGGCUGGAGUGCAGUGGCGUGAUCUCGGCUCACCACAACCUCCACCUCCAGGUUCAAGCAAUUCUCCUGCCUCAGCCUCCCGAGUAGCUGGGAUUACAGGUGCCCACCACCAGCCCUGGCUAAUUUUUGUAUUUUUAGUAGAAACGGGGUUUCACCAUGUUGGCCAGGCUGGUCUAGAACUCCUGACCUCAAGUGAUCCGCCCUUCUCGGCCUCCCAAAGUGCCAGGAUUACAGGCGUGAGCCACCAUGCCCAGGUGGAGCUGAAUUUUUUUUUUUUUUUUUGAGGUGGGAGGAUGGAGUCUCGCUUUUUCGCCCAGGCUGGAGUGCAAUGGCACGAUCUUGGCUCACUGCAACCUCCGCCUCCCAGGUCCAAGCAAUUCUUCUGCCUCAGCCUCCCCAGUAGCUGGGAUUACAGGCAUGUGCCACCACACCCGGGUAAUUUUUGUAUUUUUAGUAGAGACAAGGUUUCACCAUGUUGGCCAGGCUGGUCUCGAACUCCUGACCUCAAGUGAUCCACCCAUCGCAGCCUCCCAAAGUGCUAGGAUUACAGGCAUGAGCCACCGCGCCCAGCCAAUCUUUUUAUAUAGUAGAUUUCUUGCAAUGUAACCCCUAUCCUCUGGGCUUUGUGUAAAAAGUGCAUUCAGACAAUCUGAGGAGUGUCUUAAUUUUUUGUGUGACUAUCAUAUAUAUUUUCAUCCUGUUGAGGUGUGUUUGCUAGGUGGAUAUUGAACAUGAAAUCAAAGUAUAAUUUUAAACUUGUGUUGAAAUAUAUGUGUAUAAGCAUAUGUGCACAAUUACCUAUAUUGUCAAACACCCAACCUGCUUUCCAAAGGAUUUGAAGCAAGGUCUAAUAAAAACACAGAAAAAGUAUGGCCAAGAGCUGUAAACACCAAAAAAAGAAGUAAAGGGCAAGUCGCAAACAGACUGCAGUUGAGCAAAGCUGCAAAGGACUAUAAUACCAGGCCUGAAGUGGUUGCUAAAUGUAGCUCUGAGCUUUCUGACAUUCAAAGCCAAAAAUAGGUAUAUUUUAUUAUUUAAACAGUGUCUACUCUGAGGUCCUCAAAACUCUUUCAGGGGGCCCACAGAUCAAAACUAUUUUCAUAAUAACACCAAGACAUUGUUUGCAUCUUUCAUUGUCAUUCUCUUAGGAGUGUACAGUGGAGUUUUCCAGAAGGCAUAUGCCAUGUGCAUCACCACAGCUUAAAUGCAGAAACAGACAUGAGGAUCUAGCUGUGUCCUACUAAGCCAGACAUUCAGGACAUCUAAAAGUGUAAAACAAUGCCACUCUUCUCACUAACUUUUUUGUUUUGGAAAAUAUAUCUUUCAUAAAAUAUUGAUUAUGUUGAUA
RNAcentral lists this long non-coding RNA (3668 nucleotides) under Homo sapiens (human). Its description in RNAcentral is "HSALNT0372471". Lineage: Eukaryota; Metazoa; Chordata; Mammalia; Primates; Hominidae. The record is from RNAcentral.